This 378-nucleotide long non-coding RNA is filed under the name Mytilus galloprovincialis (Mediterranean mussel). The record is from RNAcentral. Lineage: Eukaryota; Metazoa; Mollusca; Bivalvia; Mytilida; Mytilidae.
CUCACCAAAUCUGAUCCUGUGCGACAAAAUUACAAUUAGCGACCGCACGUCCCGUGGGUGGCUGGUUUGUUUUGGCCGCUGCGGCCAUAAUUCCUUUUAACCACUACUACAAUAAACCUUUAAAUAUUAAAAUAAAAUAUUAUUUGACAAUACGUUUUUAACGGAAGUAAUGUCUCAUUCCGGUUGAGCGAGAAGCGCCAUGACGACUUGAAUGCAUAUUAUAUGGUAAUUGUGUAUCGCACCUUGGAGACGUGUCACUCAGGUGUGUGAUAAAUAACUAAACCCGGUUGGGUAUAAAAAGUCUUUAUCAGUUUAAAUACUCUCGCUUUUUACACCAAUAAUCUAUAAUCUACUUUACAUAAAACAACAGUACUUGGG